CUGCGGAGGGAUCAUUACCGAGUUUACAACUCCCAAACCCCUGUGAACAUACCAAUUGUUGCCUCGGCGGAUCAGCCCGCUCCCGGUAAAACGGGACGGCCCGCCAGAGGACCCCUAAACUCUGUUUCUAUAUGUAACUUCUGAGUAAAACCAUAAAUAAAUCAAAACUUUCAACAACGGAUCUCUUGGUUCUGGCAUCGAUGAAGAACGCAGCAAAAUGCGAUAAGUAAUGUGAAUUGCAGAAUUCAGUGAAUCAUCGAAUCUUUGAACGCACAUUGCGCCCGCCAGUAUUCUGGCGGGCAUGCCUGUUCGAGCGUCAUUUCAACCCUCAAGCCCCCGGGUUUGGUGUUGGGGAUCGGCGAGCCCUUGCGGGCAAGCCGGCCCCGAAAUCUAGUGGCGGUCUCGCUGCAGCUUCCAUUGCGUAGUAGUAAAACCCUCGCAACUGGUACGCGGCGCGGCCAAGCCGUUAAACCCCCAACUUCUGAAUGUUGACCUCGGAUCAGGUAGGAAUACCCGCUGAACUUAAGCAUAUCAA
RNAcentral lists this ribosomal RNA (535 nucleotides) under Fusarium verticillioides. RNAcentral's name for it is "eukaryotic LSU rRNA". The stretch from base 166 to 319 matches the Rfam family "5.8S ribosomal RNA". Lineage: Eukaryota; Fungi; Ascomycota; Sordariomycetes; Hypocreales; Nectriaceae. The record is from RNAcentral.